UUUCCGUAGGUGAACCUGCGGAAGGGUCAUUAAUGAGUUGUCAUGGGGUUCGAUGCUGGCAGCCAGUUUUUGGAUGCAUGUGCUUGCCCUAACAAUCAUCUUCUUCCAAACACCUGUGCACAUUUUUGAGGGAGUCUUGAGUUGGUUGCCGCUCUUGGGUGAUUUUCUCACAUUCCCAUAAAUCAUUAUACGCUAUUAACAAUGUUGAACGUGCUCUGUGCCGCAAGGCCAUUAAUAUAAUACAACUUUUAACAACGGAUCUCUUGGCUCUC
RNAcentral lists this unclassified non-coding RNA (272 nucleotides) under plant metagenome. RNAcentral's name for it is "partial contains small subunit ribosomal RNA, internal transcribed spacer 1, and 5.8S ribosomal RNA". The record is from RNAcentral.